RNAcentral lists this ribosomal RNA (1431 nucleotides) under Eggerthella lenta. Its description in RNAcentral is "bacterial SSU rRNA". It matches the Rfam family "Bacterial small subunit ribosomal RNA". The record is from RNAcentral. Lineage: Bacteria; Bacillati; Actinomycetota; Coriobacteriia; Eggerthellales; Eggerthellaceae.
UGCCUAACACAUGCAAGUCGAACAGAUGAUAACCAGCCACUCGGGCGGACAUGAAGUGGCGAACGGGUGAGUAACAGCGUGACCAACCUGCCCCCUCGCUCCGGGACAACCUUGGGAAACCGAGGCUAAUACCGGAUACUCCUUGCCCCGCCUCCUGGGAGGGCUCCGGGAAAGCCCAGGACGGCAAGGGGAUGGGGUCGCGGCCCAUUAGGUAGUAGGCGGGGUAACGGCCCACCUAGCCCGCGAUGGGUAGCCGGGUUGAGAGACCGACCGGCCACAUUGGGACUGAGAUACGGCCCAGACUCCUACGGGAGGCAGCAGUGGGGAAUUUUGCGCAAUGGGGGAAACCUUGACGCAGCAACGCGCGCGUGCGGGACGACGGCCUUCGGGUUAGUAAACCGCUUUCAGCAGGGAAGAAAUUACGACGGUACCUGCAGAAGAAGACUACCAGGCUAACUACGUGCCAGCAGCCGCGGUAAUACGUAGGGAGCGAGCGUUAUCCGGAUUCAUUGGGCGUAAAGAGCGCGUAGGCGGCCUCUCAAGCGGGAUCUCUAAUCCGAGGGCUCAACCCCCGGCCGGAUCCCGAACUGGGAGGCUCGAGUUCGGUAGAGGCAGGCGGAAUUCCCGGUGUAGCGGUGGAAUGCGCAGAUAUCGGGAAGAACACCGAUGGCGAAGGCAGCCUGCUGGGCCGCAACUGACGCUGAGGCGCGAAAGCUAGGGGAGCGAACAGGAUUAGAUACCCUGGUAGUCCUAGCCGUAAACGAUGGAUACUAGGUGUGGGGGGCUCCGCCCUCCGUGCCGCAGCCAACGCAUUAAGUAUCCCGCCUGGGGAGUACGGCUCGCAAGGCUAUAAACUCAAAGGAAUUUGACGGGGGCACCGCACAAGCACCGGAGCAUGUGGCUUAAUUCGAAGCAACGCGAAGAACCUUACCAGGGCUUCGACAUGGACCGUGAUAGCCGGGGAAACCCGGUGGCCGAGAGGAGCGUCACGCAGGUGGUGACAUGGCUGUCUGUCGAGUCUCGUGUCGUGAGUAUGUUAGGGUUAAGAUGCCCGCAUACGGAGCGCAAACCCCAUGCCCCAUGUUGCCAGCAUUAGGUUGGGGACUCAUGGGGGACUGCCGGCGUACAAGCCGGAGGAAGGUGGGGACGGACGUGCAAGUCAUCAUGCCCUUUAUGCCCUGGGCUGCACACGUGCUACAAUGGCCGGUACAACGGGCUGCGAGACCGCGAGGUCGAGCGAGAUCCCUCAAAGCCGGCCCCAGUUCGGAUCGGAGGCUGCAACCCGCCUCCGUGAAGUCGGAGUUGCUAGUAAUCGCGGAUCAGCAUGCCGCGGUGAAUACGUUCCCGGGCCUUGUACACACCGCCCGUCACACCACCCGAGUCGUCUGCACCCGAAGCCGCCGGCCCGAACCCGCAAGGGGCGGAGGCGUC